UAGAAACAAAAGGAACAUAACUACUCACCCCCUACCCAAAUUCAAAAGAUUCUCUGAAAUUUGUCAUAUGCUUAUUUAAGUGUCCCUAAAAACAGAGAGCUAUGGUUCUGCUCGUUUCUGUUUAAAUCUCCUAGUUUUGCCUUAAGCCAUGAAGUUAACCUCAGAGCAGAGCCUCUCUCCAGUCCCUGCUCCCCAAAUGAAAACCAUGUGCUUUUGUGGGUUUUCUUUGUUUUUCUUUUUAAAGAUCUUCUCCAUUAUUUAAGGAAGUUAUUCCAUAAUACACAGGUCUUCAAUAAUAGAGUUCACACUGGCUUUUAUCAAUUAAGUCACAAAUAGUUGUUCUCAGAAGCAAAUUUAACUCUAGACAUUUUUAAAGCUGAUUGUAACACCCUGGAAAAACUAGAAACUUCUUGCGCGUUAGCCAAGUCAAACUGUACAAGACAAUACGUGGAAAUAUGUGGAUGAAACACUUAAUAAUACUUGCACAGUUCUUAGCCAUACUUUUCUCCUUCCAUGAAGGCAAUUAAUCAGUCUGAACUCCCACGCUGGGUAGUGCCACUUCUGACCCUGGUUUAAAUGUAGAAAUAUGUAAUUCAUACUGAAGUUCUAUCAUGUUCCUAAAACUCAGCUGCAAAUCACAGGUCAGUACACAGAGUGAAUGUGGUUUCUCUGCCCUCCACUUGCCAGGAGUUAAGGUUGUAUACGGGAAAAAAAAAAAAUUGUAAGGGUGUGACUUGGAUUAUAAAAAUCACACUUUUAAUUCUACUGAAACAUUAUUUAAAAAAAUAAACUCUCUCCUUUGCUCUUAAAAUAGACCAAAUUUGUACAGAUAGGGCAUUAUUGAACGAUCUAUUCAUUUCAGUUACACAACAGGGAAUGAGCUGUUAUGGUCAGUGCAGCAAACACAGCAAAGGUAUUGAUGCGGGGUGGGAUUGGAAGUUUUGCUGCUGUGACCUCAUCUGUACAAUUGCAGAAGAACAUCUAGCCUGUCUCUGCUACCUUCUUAAAGUCCCCUCUCCUGUUCCCUGGCAUCCCAUCUCCCUUCCUUGAGGAACCCAGUGUCUUCCACUACAGGACGGAAGGAAUGUCACCCAAAGCAUACUCCAUCCAUCAGCUGCCCUUGUUUUCCAUAAAACAAACGUACAAACAAAAGAGCUCAAUGUGUCUAAAACUGAGUUUACCUUUGCCCCUCCUCCUGUGGUUUCUAUCUCAGUGAAUGGGCACAAGCAUCUACCAAGCAUAAAAGCUACAAAAAGAAGAAUCAUCCCAGACUUCUCCCUGUCUUUACCUGCAUAUUCAGUCAGUUGCUGAGUCCUAAUUCCACCUCCUCUUCCUAUCUUCUGACUCCUUUUCUGUUUUCCCAGACUUGUCUUUUGACAUCCUCCCUCACAUCUCCUGCCAUAUGCUUGUUAAGCUGUUCCCAGUCCCUGUACCCCCAACUCUGUAUCAGCCAAGUGAUUCUUCACAUACCACUUUCCUGUGGUUUUUCGCCCUCCCCUGUUUCCUCUUGGACCAUAGUUUUCUUUGUUCUCCUAUUGCACCCUCCCCUCCAUCAGGAAAGUAAGGAUUGGAUUUUGUAGCACUUGUUAUUGACUUAUCUUUCUUCCUCACUAGCUGGCGUUCUGAAGUCAGAGACAUCUUCCUAUUUCUCUGCCUGUCUUUAGUGCUGAGCACAGACAAGCUGCUUAUUAAGUGGUAGGUGAGUGCAUUGCUGGACUUGGGCAUUAUAAAAGAGGAACUUGUGAAGUCAGUUGAUGAGCUGGGUGGGGAACAUGUUCCUGACUUUAACAUAUUGUUUGACCCUGGUGGGCUGCCAGUAAAUUCCUGUGGAAUUCUGUUGAAUACUGAAGCAGGAAGGCUUUCCCGCCCUGCACAGUCCUCCUUCCUCCCUGAUUCUAUCAGGUCAGAAGAGUGGUCAUCAUUAGUGAAGUUAUACUAGGUUUCAGUUUGUUGGGUCCUGUUACAUAUAACGUGACUGAGCAGUAAUAAGUCAGGGAGCCCAAAUGGCUGGUUGACGUUUAACCUGUUCAACUGUCAUCUCUGCAGAAGGUCCAAACAGUUACUUCAAAACUUUAACUCAUUCCAAAGUCUACUUCUGUUUAACAAAUUCAAUUACUGAAUCUAUGGUUAUCUAUUAAAUGCUGGUUGUGUUUAAAGGGAUUAGUAAUAUUUAAACAGAAUAAGCUUUAAAUAUGUGACACAAAAUAACUAUUCAAUAAACAUCACUAGAGUAAUUGGCUAAUCAUUUGUGAAAAGAGUAAUUUUUUAGUAUUUCAAUGUAAUAUAUAACAAGGAGAAAACUAAGGUAAGUGUUUUUCACAGAAAAUCAGAGAAAUCAUGGACAUGAAGCCAAUGAAGAAAGCAGCUCACUAGUUCAGCUAAAAGCAGGCUCUUGUUACACACGACCAGGAAAGAUUAGGCUCGCGGACACAUAGAAGGGUGAAGAAAAUGGAAUUUAUUGGGCGAAGAGGAAAAAGGAAAAUGAACUCUUAGCAAAGCAAGAAAGGGUCCUGCUAGCAGGUUUUCUGCCUCACAGAUUGAAUCCCAGGUCACCAUACAGCUGAAGAGAGCAUGCUCCUCCCCUGCAUAAGACUCUAACCUCUGCAAGCAAAUCCAACAAAAUCUUGUGAGAAAUUUCAGAAACAAUGUUUGAGAAGAAACCCGGGACUUAAAAAUGAACAAGUAUGCAGUGUAAGCUGACCUUGAGUGUCACAUUUUAACAUCUGUUUUUCAUGUUGUGAUACUUAUUUGAGAUUUGGUAUUAUUAAGUAAUGAGGAAAAUAUCUUACUGUUUCCAUAGGUAACGGGGCAGUAACUUGAGGCUGAUGGAUUGGCAUGCUUUGUCUGUAUAAUGUAAUUCAAAUAAAGUCAUAACAUUUUGGCUAUGG
This is a long non-coding RNA of Cercocebus atys (sooty mangabey), 2888 nucleotides long. RefSeq lists it as uncharacterized. The record is from RefSeq and is a predicted model, not a curated record. The transcript is spliced from 3 exons. Lineage: Eukaryota; Metazoa; Chordata; Mammalia; Primates; Cercopithecidae.